AUACGUAGGGGGCGAGCGUUGUCCGGAAUUACUGGGCGUAAAGAGCUCGUAGGUGGUUUGUCGCGUCGUCUGUGAAAUUCCGGGGCUUAACUCCGGGCGUGCAGGCGAUACGGGCAUAACUUGAGUACUGUAGGGGAGACUGGAAUUCCUGGUGUAGCGGUGAAAUGCACAGAUAUCAGGAGGAACACCGGUGGCGAAGGCGGGUCUCUGGGCAGUAACUGACGCUGAGGAGCGAAAGCAUGGGUAGCGAACAGGAUUAGAUACCCUGGUAGUCCAUGCCGUAAACGGUGGGCGCUAGGUGUAGGGGUCUUCCACGACUUCUGUGCCGUAGCUAACGCAUUAAGCGCCCCGCCUGGGGAGUACGGCCGCAAGGCUAAAACUCAAAGGAAUUGACGGGG
This 398-nucleotide ribosomal RNA is filed under the name uncultured bacterium. Its description in RNAcentral is "partial 16S ribosomal RNA". It matches the Rfam family "Bacterial small subunit ribosomal RNA", at positions 523 to 918 of the family's 1533-position model. The record is from RNAcentral.